UGGGGAAUUUUGGACAAUGGGCGCAAGCCUGAUCCAGCAAUGCCGCGUGCAGGAUGAAGGCCUUCGGGUUGUAAACUGCUUUUGUACGGAGCGAAAAGGUCUGCCCUAAUACGGUGGGCUCAUGACGGUACCGUAAGAAUAAGCACCGGCUAACUACGUGCCAGCAGCCGCGGUAAUACGUAGGGUGCGAGCGUUAAUCGGAAUUACUGGGCGUAAAUCGGGCGCAGGCGGUUAUAUAAGACAGAUGUGAAAUCCCCGGGCUCAACCUGGGACCUGCAUUUGUGACUGCAUAGCUAGAGUACGGCAGAGGGGGAUGGAAUUCCGAGUGUAGCAGUGAAAAGAGUAGAUAGGCGGAGGAAGAGCGAUGGCGAGGGCAAUCGACUGGGCCUGUAAUGACGCUCAGGCGCGAAAGGGUGGGGAGCGAACA
Molecule: ribosomal RNA, 427 nt
Filed under: uncultured bacterium
Lineage: Bacteria
Description: bacterial SSU rRNA
Rfam family: Bacterial small subunit ribosomal RNA
Source: RNAcentral